RNAcentral lists this ribosomal RNA (440 nucleotides) under uncultured bacterium. RNAcentral describes it as "partial 16S ribosomal RNA". It matches the Rfam family "Bacterial small subunit ribosomal RNA", at positions 339 to 795 of the family's 1533-position model. The record is from RNAcentral.
CUACGGGGGGCUCCAGCAGGGAAUAUUGCACAAUGGACGGAAGUCUGAUGCAGCGACGCCGCGUGGAUGAUGAAGGCCUUCGGGUUGUAAAAUCCUUUUCAGGGAGAAGAGGAAGGACGGUAUCCCUGGAAUAAGCGUCGGCUAACUACGUGCCAGCAGCCGCGGUAAUACGUAGGACGCAAGCGUUAUCCGGAUUUACUGGGCGUAAAGCGUCUGUAGGCGGUUUAGUAAGUUUGAUGUGAAAGCUCCAGGCUCAACUUGGAGAGUGCAUUGAAUACUGCUAGACUUGAGGGGAUCAGAGGAAAGAGGAAUUUCCGGUGUAGCGGUAAAAUGCGCAGAUAUCGGAAAGAACACCAGUGGCGAAGGCGGCUUUCUGGGAUCAACCUGACGCUGAGAGACGAAAGCUAGGGUAGCGAACAGGAUUAGAUACCCUAGUAGUC